UCUCAGUGAUGAUGAAACUAUGAUGACGAGUCUGAUAUCCAUUCUAAAAUCAUGACGACAAAACGAGGCAUUUGUCUGAGAGAA
Molecule: non-coding RNA, 84 nt
Organism: Daucus carota subsp. sativus
Lineage: Eukaryota; Viridiplantae; Streptophyta; Magnoliopsida; Apiales; Apiaceae
Source: Rfam